UCAAGUUCAACUCAUUCCGUUCGUUCCUCUAUCUAUCCCGUGAGUGUAAAGGGGUAAGUAACUCCUCAUGGCUCCGGGGUGGAGGAAGCUGGUCCAUCGAAUCGGACCCUCCCAGUGGUCCCCUAUCCGGAUGAGGUAAUAGGGGGGAUUCUGUUGAGUCGAUCCAACGCCGUCUUUUGGCCAAACACUCCUUGCCUUCGGCCGAGGUCAAAGUAGAGAUUUUUUAUUGUGAGGAUGGUAAUAGGGGGGAUUCUGUUGAGUCAAUCCAACGCCGUCUUUUGGCCAAACACUCCUUGCCUUCAGUCGAGGUCAAAGUAGAGAUUUUUUAU
Molecule: long non-coding RNA, 329 nt
Filed under: Nicotiana benthamiana
Lineage: Eukaryota; Viridiplantae; Streptophyta; Magnoliopsida; Solanales; Solanaceae
Description: long non-coding RNA (NBEN_LNC005494)
Source: RNAcentral